Molecule: long non-coding RNA, 2430 nt
Filed under: Canis lupus familiaris (dog)
Lineage: Eukaryota; Metazoa; Chordata; Mammalia; Carnivora; Canidae
Description: lncRNA (ENSCAFG00000055691.1, ENSCAFG00845013537.1)
Source: RNAcentral
UUUUUUUUUUCACCGUGGGGCUUGAGCUCAUGACCCUGAGAUCAAAACCUAAGCUGAGAUCAGGAGUCACGUGCUUAACAGACUGAACCACUCAGGUGCCUUUCUGUUUGUUCUUUUACUCAUUUAACAAACCUUUACUGUAUACCUAUCAUGCAUUGAGAAUGCAGUUGAGCACUGGAAAUUCUAAAAUGAAUAAAUAAAAAAAUCCUCUAUCUUCAAAGAAAUCAGUUUGGUAGAGGAAGCAGAAUAUAAUCAAAUUAUGUCAAUAUUGCAUUACAAGCACUUUAAUAAAGGUAUGUGAAAAGAACAUGAAUUGAUACAAAAGGGAGAGAGGACAGCAUCAUCUAAUAGGGGGAGGACAAUUAGGGAAGAGGAGAAGAUGCAGAGCUGGCUCUUGAAAGAUGAAGCGAGAUCAUAAUCCAGAGGAAAACCAAAGGAGAUUUCAGAUCAAGAGAAAAACAUGUUCCAAGAUAAGAAACAUUGUUUGGUAUGUGCAAGAAAUUACAAGCAGUUUUUAGGGUGUAGCAGUGAUAAGACUGGAUAGGAAGGGAUGGGUGAGCUCAUGGAGCAGCCAAAUUCUACUGUGGAUAUGUAUCAGAUGCUUCUGUCUAGCUACCUACCUACCUACCUACCUAUCUACUUACCUAGUGUGUAUAUAUAAUCUAAUUUACAUAAACCCGAGGUUGUAAUAUUUAUUAUCCCAAAUUUACAGAUAAGGAAAUAGAAGCAUAUACGGCUAUCCAAGGCCACAUAGCUGGGAAUUAACAGCAACAAAAUCUAAACAUAUGGAAUCUGAUUCUAGAGUCUUGUCUCUUCAUCAUUACAUAAGAGUCUGGACUUUAUCAACUAUAGGGAGAAGUUUCAAAGAGAGGAAUGUUAUGGCAAGAGUAGGUUUUACAAAGGUCCUUCAAACCCCAGUGUGGAGAAUAGAUGAAAGAAGGAUGUCUAUAGGAGCAAAACCACCUAGCCAACCAUGUUCAUCAUGAAGGCAAUAUAAGGAAGACCUAAACUACUGCAGGGGGCAUGGUUUCUCCAGCACAGAAAGGUGAUUGACCCAAGGGGACACAAGCAGCUAGGCUGGGACUAAAAUGUAGGGUACAGACUCUGCUCAGUCAUCCUACACCAUUUACAAUUCUGUUAAAUAUGGUAUUAAAGAGAAAAUACUCUCUUCUAACAUGCAGCUGAGGCCCAGAUUCACAGAAUUCAGAGCUGGAAGAAACCUUAGGUUGAUUCAUUGCAUCUAUCUUCUUUAGUUAGGAAUUCCUUAUAGAGCAUCACUGUCAAAUGAUGUUCCAUUCUUUGCCUGAAAUUGUUAGCAAAUUGUCUUUAGAGUGAUUAACAUCAUUUACUCAAUAAACAUUUAUGGAGCACCUAUUGUGGUCAAGGCAUUAUGUUUGAUGUUGUGGUUACAAUGAACAAAAGCAAACAGGGCCUUGAGGAACUUACAACCUAAUAUUAAAACUUGUUUUCCUAUAAUAUCCACCUAUUGUCACUAGUUCUCUUCCUUAGAAUUAUAAAAGUAAGCUGUUAUUUUAUUCGCUACAGCAUUUCAAAUACUGAAAGAUUUGAAAACUCUCAAGGGUUUCUUUCUUUUUCUCUUUUCUAAGAUAAACAGUUUCUCCAACAGUUCUUCACAUAAAGCAGUCAAAUCUGCUUGUAACUACUCAGUUUGUAAUGAAUAAAUUGCUAAGUAUUACUGAAAAAAAUACAGCAUCUCUCAUUUAUAGCAGAGUCCAAGAUUGACAUAGAAAUCAUAUCAGUUAUAAUUUGAAAGAUUGCAGAUGUUAGUGGCUUUGAGAUAUCUGACCACCAGAAAUGGAUGCUGUAUUAGAAUUCAAAUCAUAAAGUUAAAAGUGUCAUAAUACAUUUGCACUUAUGCUUAAGUUAUUAUUUAUAUCAUAAUAAAGUUAUAAUAUAAAUUUUAAUAAUCAGAAAGAAGCCUCUGGUUUAAAAAUAUUAUUAGAAAAGUAGUUGAAGAAAUCUCCUCUCAACCUUCCAAAUAAGACAGAAAAUCCAAAAUCUCAUAAAAGCACAUCAAUAACCUCUGUCAAGAUAGUGACACAUUAUUCAAGAAUUGCUCAUUCAUGACAAGCAUUGAACGGUUUGAAAAUGCAAUCAAUGUUCCAACCAUAUAAUCUGAUCCUAAAGAGGAUAUGAUUUAGCCCUUUCCAGCUAUCUCUACACUAAAGAUCUGUUUCAACUUGAAAACAGGGCAGACAUCCUUCUCCUAAAUAGGUCCCACUUUUGAAAGAGAAAAAUAGAACUCAGAGUAUUCUUCCUAACUUUCCAUAUUAGAAUUCUCUUUUUAUAACCACUCUAAACUGUAAUUGCCACAAUUUAAAAGGCAAACAAGCAAAAAGAAAUCAGGAAGACAAUGUUAAUGGUAGUGCAAUGAAACUGAGGAAGCAUGACUUUCACAAGUAAGACUAU